UACGGAGGAUGCGAGCGUUAUCCGGAUUUAUUAGGUUUAAAGGGUGUGUAGGCGGAAGACUAAGUCAGUGGUGAAAUCUCACAGCUUAACUGUGAAACUGCCAUAGAUACUGGUUUUCUUGAGUACAGUUGAAGUAGGCGGAAUGUGUAAUGUAGCGGUGAAAUGCUUAGAUAUUACACAGAACACCGAUUGCGAAGGCAGCUUGCUAAGCUGUUACUGACGCUGAUGCACGAAAGCGUGGGGAGCGAACAGG
This 253-nucleotide ribosomal RNA is filed under the name uncultured bacterium. RNAcentral describes it as "partial 16S ribosomal RNA". It matches the Rfam family "Bacterial small subunit ribosomal RNA", at positions 524 to 776 of the family's 1533-position model. The record is from RNAcentral.